This 455-nucleotide ribosomal RNA is filed under the name uncultured Pseudomonadota bacterium. RNAcentral's name for it is "bacterial SSU rRNA". It matches the Rfam family "Bacterial small subunit ribosomal RNA", at positions 1 to 507 of the family's 1533-position model. The record is from RNAcentral. Lineage: Bacteria; Pseudomonadati; Pseudomonadota.
AGUAGUUCGACUCCGUGACUACAGAACGACGCUGGCGGCAGGCUUAACACAUGCAAGUCGAACGCCCCGCAAGGGGAGUGGGCAGACGGGUGAGUAACGCGUGGGAAUCUACCCAACCCUGCGGAAUAGCUCUGGGAAACUGGAAUUAAUACCGCAUACGCCCUACGGGGGAAAGAUUUAUCGGGGAUGGAUGAGCCCGCGUUGGAUUAGCUAGUUGGUGAGGUAAAGGCCUACCAAGGCGACGAUCCAUAGCUGGUCUGAGAGGAUGAUCAGCCACAUUGGGACUGAGACACGGCCCAAACUCCUACGGGAGGCAGCAGUGGGGAAUAUUGGACAAUGGGCGCAAGCCUGAUCCAGCCAUGCCGCGUGAGUGAUGAAGGCCUUAGGGUUGUAAAGCCCUUUCACCGGUGAAGAUAAUGACGGUAACCGGAGAAGAAGCCCCGGCUAACUUCGUG